Molecule: ribosomal RNA, 810 nt
Filed under: Enterococcus gallinarum
Lineage: Bacteria; Bacillati; Bacillota; Bacilli; Lactobacillales; Enterococcaceae
Description: bacterial SSU rRNA
Rfam family: Bacterial small subunit ribosomal RNA
Source: RNAcentral
CCCUUAGAGUUUGAUUCCUGGCUGAGGACGAACGCUGGCGGCGUGCCUAAUACAUGCAAGUCGAACGCUUUUUCUUUCACCGGAGCUUGCUCCACCGAAAGAAAAAGAGUGGCGAACGGGUGAGUAACACGUGGGUAACCUGCCCAUCAGAAGGGGAUAACACUUGGAAACAGGUGCUAAUACCGUAUAACACUAUUUUCCGCAUGGAAGAAAGUUGAAAGGCGCUUUUGCGUCACUGAUGGAUGGACCCGCGGUGCAUUAGCUAGUUGGUGAGGUAACGGCUCACCAAGGCAACGAUGCAUAGCCGACCUGAGAGGGUGAUCGGCCACACUGGGACUGAGACACGGCCCAGACUCCUACGGGAGGCAGCAGUAGGGAAUCUUCGGCAAUGGACGAAAGUCUGACCGAGCAACGCCGCGUGAGUGAAGAAGGUUUUCGGAUCGUAAAACUCUGUUGUUAGAGAAGAACAAGGAUGAGAGUAAAACGUUCAUCCCUUGACGGUGUCUAACCAGAAAGCCACGGCUAACUACGUGCCAGCAGCCGCGGUAAUACGUAGGUGGCAAGCGUUGUCCGGAUUUAUUGGGCGUAAAGCGAGCGCAGGCGGUUUCUUAAGUCUGAUGUGAAAGCCCCCGGCUCAACCGGGGAGGGUCAUUGGAAACUGGGAGACUUGAGUGCAGAAGAGGAGAGUGGAAUUCCAUGUGUAGCGGUGAAAUGCGUAGAUAUAUGGAGGAACACCAGUGGCGAAGGCGGCUCUCUGGUCUGUAACUGACGCUGAGGCUCGAAAGCGUGGGGAGCGAACAGGAUUAGAUA